Molecule: ribosomal RNA, 450 nt
Filed under: uncultured bacterium
Lineage: Bacteria
Description: partial 16S ribosomal RNA
Rfam family: Bacterial small subunit ribosomal RNA
Source: RNAcentral
GUGGGGAAUAUUGGACAAUGGGCGAAAGCCUGAUCCAGCCAUGCCGCGUGUGUGAAGAAGGUCUUCGGAUUGUAAAGCACUUUAAGUUGGGAGGAAGGGCAGUAAGUUAAUACCUUGCUGUUUUGACGUUACCGACAGAAUAAGCACCGGCUAACUUCGUGCCAGCAGCCGCGGUAAUACGAAGGGGGCGAGCGUUAUUCGGAAUCACUGGGCGUAAAGCGUGCGUAGGCGGUCUCGUAAGUUAGGAGUGAAAGCCCAGGGCUCAACCUUGGAAUUGCUCUUAAUACUGCAAGGCUAGAAUCUCGGAGAGGAUAGCGGAAUUUCCAGUGUAGCAGUGAAAUGCGUAGAUAUUGGAAGGAACACCAGUGGCGUAAGCGGCUAUCUGGACGAGUAUUGACGCUGAGGCACGAAAGCGUGGGGAUCAAACAGGAUUAGAAACCCGAGUAGUCC